AACGAACGCUGGCGGCAUGCCUAACACAUGCAAGUCGAACGAGACCUUCGGGUCUAGUGGCGCACGGGUGCGUAACGCGUGGGAACCUGCCCUUAGGUUCGGAAUAACUCCCCGAAAGGGGUGCUAAUACCGGAUAAUUUCUUCGGACCAAAGAUUUAUCGCCUUUGGAUGGGCCCGCGUUGGAUUAGCUAGUUGGUAGGGUAAAAGCCUACCAAGGCGACGAUCCAUAGCUGGUCUGAGAGGAUGAUCAGCCACACUGGGACUGAGACACGGCCCAGACUCCUACGGGAGGGAGCAGUGGGGAAUAUUGGAAAAUGGGCGAAAGCCUGAUCCAGCAAUGCCGCGUGAGUGAUGAAGGCCUUAGGGUUGUAAAGCUCUUUUACCCGGGAUGAUAAUGACAGUACCGGGAGAAUAAGCGCCGGCUAACUCCGUG
RNAcentral lists this ribosomal RNA (433 nucleotides) under uncultured bacterium. Its description in RNAcentral is "partial 16S ribosomal RNA". It matches the Rfam family "Bacterial small subunit ribosomal RNA", at positions 29 to 507 of the family's 1533-position model. The record is from RNAcentral.